RNAcentral lists this transfer RNA (66 nucleotides) under Hemiphyllodactylus insularis (Philippine slender gecko). RNAcentral's name for it is "tRNA-Cys". Lineage: Eukaryota; Metazoa; Chordata; Lepidosauria; Squamata; Gekkonidae. The record is from RNAcentral.
AGCCCUCGGGGUGAUCCCACACCAAGCUGCAAACUUGGAGAAGCUCCCUAGAGGAGCCGGGGCUUC